Molecule: ribosomal RNA, 330 nt
Filed under: Chihuahuanus russelli
Lineage: Eukaryota; Metazoa; Arthropoda; Arachnida; Scorpiones; Vaejovidae
Description: partial 12S ribosomal RNA
Source: RNAcentral
UAAAGUUUAUAAAAUUAGGUAGUAAAGAAAUUUCUGAAACCUAAAGAAUUUGGCGGUAUUUUAAAUAAUUGGAGGAACCUGUUAUUUAAUUGACACUCCACAACAUAUCUUACCUAGAUUUUAUUUGUAUAUCGUCGUUUUGAUAAUACUUAAAAGUUAUAAUCAACAUUAAUAGAUUUUGAAAAAUCAGAUCAAGGUGCAGUAUAUUUAGGUUAUAAUGGGUUACAAUAUAAUAAUAUAUUAUGGAUAUAAAAUUAAAAACAUAUUGAAAGUGGAUUCAAAAGUAAUUUUAAAUUAAAAUAUUAACUUGAUUUAUAAUUUAAAAUAUGC